This 448-nucleotide ribosomal RNA is filed under the name uncultured bacterium. RNAcentral's name for it is "bacterial SSU rRNA". It matches the Rfam family "Bacterial small subunit ribosomal RNA", at positions 330 to 795 of the family's 1533-position model. The record is from RNAcentral.
GCCAGACUCCUACGGGAGGCAGCAGUGAGGAAUAUUGCACAAUGGGGGAAACCCUGAUGCAGCGACGCCGCGUGAGUGAAGAAGUAUUUCGGUAUGUAAAGCUCUAUCAGCAGGGAAGAUAAUGACGGUACCUGACUAAGAAGCCCCGGCUAACUACGUGCCAGCAGCCGCGGUAAUACGUAGGGGGCAAGCGUUAUCCGGAUUUACUGGGUGUAAAGGGUGCGCAGGUGGCAGGGCAAGUCAGAUGUGAAAGCCCGGGGCUCAACCCCGGUAUUGCAUUUGAAACUGUCCGGCUAGAGUGCAGGAGAGGUAAGCGGAAUUCCUAGUGUAGCGGUGAAAUGCGUAGAUAUUAGGAGGAACACCAGUGGCGAAGGCGGCUUACUGGACUGUAACUGACACUGAGGCACGAAAGCGUGGGGAGCAAACAGGAUUAGAUACCCCGGUAAAC